This 2893-nucleotide ribosomal RNA is filed under the name Campylobacter coli. RNAcentral's name for it is "bacterial LSU rRNA". It matches the Rfam family "Bacterial large subunit ribosomal RNA". The record is from RNAcentral. Lineage: Bacteria; Pseudomonadati; Campylobacterota; Epsilonproteobacteria; Campylobacterales; Campylobacteraceae.
AGAGCGAAUGGUGGAUGCCUUGACUGGUAAAGGCGAUGAAGGACGUACUAGACUGCGAUAAGCUACGGGGAGCUGUCAAGAAGCUUUGAUCCGUAGAUUUCCGAAUGGGGCAACCCAAUGUAUAGAGAUAUACAUUACCUAUAUAGGAGCGAACGAGGGGAAUUGAAACAUCUUAGUACCCUCAGGAAAAGAAAUCAAUAGAGAUUGCGUCAGUAGCGGCGAGCGAAAGCGCAAGAGGGCAAACCCAGUGCUUGCACUGGGGGUUGUAGGACUGCAAUGUGCAAGAGGUGAGUUUAGCAGAACAUUCUGGAAAGUAUAGCCAUAGAGGGUGAUAGUCCCGUAUGCGAAAAACAAACCUUAGCUAGCAGUAUCCUGAGUAGGGCGGGACACGAGAAAUCCUGUCUGAAGCUGGGUCGACCACGAUCCAACCCUAAAUACUAAUACCAGAUCGAUAGUGCACAAGUACCGUGAGGGAAAGGUGAAAAGAACUGAGGUGAUCAGAGUGAAAUAGAACCUGAAACCAUUUGCUUACAAUCAUUCAGAGCACUAUGUAGCAAUACAGUGUGAUGGACUGCCUUUUGCAUAAUGAGCCUGCGAGUUGUGGUGUCUGGCAAGGUUAAGCAAACGCGAAGCCGUAGCGAAAGCGAGUCUGAAUAGGGCGCUUAGUCAGAUGCUGCAGACCCGAAACGAAGUGAUCUAUCCAUGAGCAAGUUGAAGCUAGUGUAAGAACUAGUGGAGGACUGAACCCAUAGGCGUUGAAAAGCCCCGGGAUGACUUGUGGAUAGGGGUGAAAGGCCAAUCAAACUUCGUGAUAGCUGGUUCUCUCCGAAAUAUAUUUAGGUAUAGCGUUGUGUCGUAAUAUAAGGGGGUAGAGCACUGAAUGGGCUAGGGCAUACACCAAUGUACCAAACCCUAUCAAACUCCGAAUACCUUAUAUGUAAUCACAGCAGUCAGGCGGCGAGUGAUAAAAUCCGUCGUCAAGAGGGAAACAACCCAGACUACCAGCUAAGGUCCCUAAAUCUUACUUAAGUGGAAAACGAUGUGAAGUUACUUAAACAACCAGGAGGUUGGCUUAGAAGCAGCCAUCCUUUAAAGAAAGCGUAAUAGCUCACUGGUCUAGUGAUUUUGCGCGGAAAAUAUAACGGGGCUAAAGUAAGUACCGAAGCUGUAGACUUGACUUUGUCAAGUGGUAGGAGAGCGUUCUAUUUGCGUCGAAGGUAUACCGGUAAGGAGUGCUGGAGCGAAUAGAAGUGAGCAUGCAGGCAUGAGUAGCGAUAAUUAAUGUGAGAAUCAUUAACGCCGUAAACCCAAGGUUUCCUACGCGAUGCUCGUCAUCGUAGGGUUAGUCGGGUCCUAAGUCGAGUCCGAAAGGGGUAGACGAUGGCAAAUUGGUUAAUAUUCCAAUACCAACAUUAGUGUGCGAUGGAAGGACGCUUAGGGCUAAGGGGGCUAGCGGAUGGAAGUGCUAGUCUAAGGUCGUAGGUGCUUAUACAGGCAAAUCCGUAUAAGAAUACACCGAGAACUGAAAGGCUUUUUGAAAUCUUCGGAUGGAUAGAAGAACCCCUGAUGCCGUCGAGCCAAGAAAAGUUUCUAAGUUUAGCUAAUGUUGCCCGUACCGUAAACCGACACAGGUGGGUGGGAUGAGUAUUCUAAGGCGCGUGGAAGAACUCUCUUUAAGGAACUCUGCAAAAUAGCACCGUAUCUUCGGUAUAAGGUGUGGUUCGCUUCGUAUUAGGAUUUACUCCGAAAGCGAAGAAACUUACAACAAAGAGUCCCUCCCGACUGUUUACCAAAAACACAGCACUCUGCUAACUCGUAAGAGGAUGUAUAGGGUGUGACGCCUGCCCGGUGCUCGAAGGUUAAUUGAUGGGGUUAGCAUUAGCGAAGCUCUUGAUCGAAGCCCGAGUAAACGGCGGCCGUAACUAUAACGGUCCUAAGGUAGCGAAAUUCCUUGUCGGUUAAAUACCGACCUGCAUGAAUGGCGUAACGAGAUGGGAGCUGUCUCAAAGAGGGAUCCAGUGAAAUUGUAGUGGAGGUGAAAAUUCCUCCUACCCGCGGCAAGACGGAAAGACCCCGUGGACCUUUACUACAGCUUGACACUGCUAUUUGGAUAAGAAUGUGCAGGAUAGGUGGGAGGCUUUGAGUAUAUGACGCCAGUUGUAUAUGAGCCAUUGUUGAGAUACCACUCUUUCUUAUUUGGGUAGCUAACCAGCUUGAGUUAUCCUCAAGUGGGACAAUGUCUGGUGGGUAGUUUGACUGGGGCGGUCGCCUCCCAAAUAAUAACGGAGGCUUACAAAGGUUGGCUCAGAACGGUUGGAAAUCGUUCGUAGAGUAUAAAGGUAUAAGCCAGCUUAACUGCAAGACAUACAAGUCAAGCAGAGACGAAAGUCGGUCUUAGUGAUCCGGUGGUUCUGUGUGGAAGGGCCAUCGCUCAAAGGAUAAAAGGUACCCCGGGGAUAACAGGCUGAUCUCCCCCAAGAGCUCACAUCGACGGGGAGGUUUGGCACCUCGAUGUCGGCUCAUCGCAUCCUGGGGCUGGAGCAGGUCCCAAGGGUAUGGCUGUUCGCCAUUUAAAGCGGUACGCGAGCUGGGUUCAGAACGUCGUGAGACAGUUCGGUCCCUAUCUGCCGUGGGCGUAAGAAGAUUGAAGAGAUUUGACCCUAGUACGAGAGGACCGGGUUGAACAAACCACUGGUGUAGCUGUUGUUCUGCCAAGAGCAUCGCAGCGUAGCUAAGUUUGGAAAGGAUAAACGCUGAAAGCAUCUAAGCGUGAAGCCAACUCUAAGAUGAAUCUUCUCUAAGCUCUCUAGAAGACUACUAGUUUGAUAGGCUGGGUGUGUAAUGGAUGAAAGUCCUUUAGCUGACCAGUACUAAUAGAGCGUUUGGCUUAUCU